UAAUACGGAGGAUGCAAGCGUUAUCCGGAUUCAUUGGGUUUAAAGGGUGCGUAGGCGGAAUGAUAAGUCAGUGGUGAAAUCCCCCGGCUCAACCGGGGAACUGCCAUUGAAACUAUCAUUCUUGAGUACAGUUGAAGUGGGCGGAAUGAGUCAUGUAGCGGUGAAAUGCAUAGAUAUGACUCAGAACACCGAUAGCGAAGGCAGCUCACUAAGCUGUAACUGACGCUCAGGCACGAAAGCGUGGGGAGCAAACAGGAUUAGAUACCCUGGUAGUCCACGCCGUAAACGAUGAUUACUAGUUGUUGGCGAUACACUGUCAGCGACUGAGGGAAACCAUUAAGUAAUCCACCUGGGGAGUACGGCCGCAAGGUUG
This 373-nucleotide ribosomal RNA is filed under the name uncultured Bacteroidota bacterium. RNAcentral describes it as "bacterial SSU rRNA". It matches the Rfam family "Bacterial small subunit ribosomal RNA", at positions 521 to 896 of the family's 1533-position model. The record is from RNAcentral. Lineage: Bacteria; Pseudomonadati; Bacteroidota.